RNAcentral lists this ribosomal RNA (418 nucleotides) under Cyanobacterium sp. K9. Its description in RNAcentral is "bacterial SSU rRNA". It matches the Rfam family "Bacterial small subunit ribosomal RNA", at positions 355 to 788 of the family's 1533-position model. The record is from RNAcentral. Lineage: Bacteria; Bacillati; Cyanobacteriota; Cyanophyceae; Chroococcales; Geminocystaceae.
UGGGGAAUUUUUCCGCAAUGGGCGAAAGCCUGACGGAGCAAUACCGCGUGAGGGAGGAAGGCUCUUGGGUUGUAAACCUCAAAACUUAGGGAAGAAAAAAAUGACGGUACCUAAUGUAAGCAUCGGCUAACUCCGUGCCAGCAGCCGCGGUAAUACGGAGGAUGCAAGCGUUAUCCGGAAUCAUUGGGCGUAAAGAGUCCGUAGGUGGCACUUCAAGUCUGCUUUCAAAGACCGAAGCUCAACUUCGGAAAGGGAGUGGAAACUGAAGAGCUAGAGUAUAGUAGGGGUAGAGGGAAUUCCUAGUGUAGCGGUGAAAUGCGUAGAGAUUAGGAAGAACACCAGUGGCGAAGGCGCUCUACUGGGCAUAUACUGACACUGAGGGACGAAAGCUAGGGGAGCGAAUGGGAUUAGAUACCCC